Molecule: ribosomal RNA, 721 nt
Filed under: Aeromicrobium sp. COL-44
Lineage: Bacteria; Bacillati; Actinomycetota; Actinomycetes; Propionibacteriales; Nocardioidaceae
Description: bacterial SSU rRNA
Rfam family: Bacterial small subunit ribosomal RNA
Source: RNAcentral
CUCGCGGCCUAUCAGCUUGAUGGUGAGGUAUUGGCUCACCAAGGCAUUGACGGGUAGCCGGCCUGAGAGGGUGACCGGCCACACUGGGACUGAGACACGGCCCAGACUCCUACGGGAGGCAGCAGUGGGGAAUAUUGGACAAUGGGCGAAAGCCUGAUCCAGCAACGCCGCGUGAGGGAUGACGGCCUUCGGGUUGUAAACCUCUUUCAGUAGGGACGAAGCGAAAGUGACGGUACCUACAGAAGAAGGACCGGCCAACUACGUGCCAGCAGCCGCGGUAAUACGUAGGGUCCGAGCGUUGUCCGGAAUUAUUGGGCGUAAAGGGCUCGUAGGCGGUUUGUCGCGUCGGGAGUGAAAACUCAGGGCUCAACCCUGAGCGUGCUUCCGAUACGGGCAGACUAGAGGUAUGCAGGGGAGAACGGAAUUCCUGGUGUAGCGGUGGAAUGCGCAGAUAUCAGGAGGAACACCGGUGGCGAAGGCGGUUCUCUGGGCAUUACCUGACGCUGAGGAGCGAAAGCAUGGGGAGCGAACAGGAUUAGAUACCCUGGUAGUCCAUGCCGUAAACGUUGGGCGCUAGGUGUGGGGACCUUCCACGGUCUCCGUGCCGCAGCUAACGCAUUAAGCGCCCCGCCUGGGGAGUACGGCCGCAAGGCUAAAACUCAAAGGAAUUGACGGGGGGCCCGCACAAGCGGCGGAGCAUGCUGAAUAAUUCCGAUGCAAC